AUGUUGGAGAGCAUACUUAGCACAGAGUUAACUAACAUUAGCAAAUGGCUUGGAGAUAAUAAGCUAUCUCUGCACUUAGAGAAAACUGAAGCAAUUAUUUUUGGAUCCAGACUUAAAUUGUGUAGGUCGUCCGAAAUCAGAGUGGAGUUAGGGGGUGAGGCGCUGACUACUAAAACUUCUGUUAGCUACUUGGGAUGUAUCCUUGAUGGAAGCUUGGGAGGUGUGAGCAUGGCCAAUAAGGUGCUAGGGAAGGUGCUAGGGACUAAGUUUUUGGCUAGAAAGUCCAAACUGCUUGAUAAGGACUCCAUGAAAGUGCUAGCUACUGCCCUCAUUCAAUGCCAUUUUGACUAUGCUAGUACUUCCUGGUUUGGGGGCUUAUCUAAACUUAUGAAGGGGAAGCUCCAGAUAGCCCAGAACAAGCUGAUCAGGUUAGUAUUGAAGGUGAGUCCACGUACUCACAUAGGCAGGAGCUGCUUUCAGGAACAAAACUGGCUGCCUGUUGAGGCUAGGGUGUCCGAGAUUAGACUAGGUUUGGUGUACAGGAGUAUUUAUGGUCCUGCGCCCAGAUAUCUAAGUGAUUACUUUCCUCGUGUUAGGGAUGCACACAAUCACAGCACCAGAUCAGGUGUUGCUGAUGUGUGCUUAUACAGGUUCAGGAGUAAUGCUGGGAAAGGUACUUUCUUGUAUACUGGAGCCUCAGAAUGGAAUGAGUUGCCUCUGCCUAUAAAAACAACAUCCUCUCUGGGCAGCUUUAAAAGUAAAGUAAAAUAUGUUUAAUGUCUUCUGUGCCCAUAUGAAUAACCCCUAUGAUGUAACUGGAAUGAUGAGAUAGAUGUUCUUCUUCUCUGUUUUUGUUUUAUUAUUUCACUGCCAUACUGUGUUCGAUCUUGUCUAGCCAUCUUGUCUCAAGAGGACCACAAUGGAAAUAAAUCCCAGACUUUAUUGUGUGUUAUCUUAAAUUAUUUUAUUGAUGUGCAUGUAUGGCUUAUUCAAGUUUUAUGUGUGCUUGUUUUUAAAAAUGGUCAAAUUAAUAAACUAAACUAAAUCAAACACAUAAAAUAUAUGGAAACCACGUUUGACUCCGCUCCAUUGAUUCCAUUCCAGCCUUUACAAUGAGCCUGUCUUCCUAUAGCACCUCCAACCGCAAUAGAGAUCCUGG
This 1159-nucleotide long non-coding RNA is filed under the name Oncorhynchus mykiss (rainbow trout). Its description in RNAcentral is "lncRNA (ENSOMYG00000071561.1)". Lineage: Eukaryota; Metazoa; Chordata; Actinopteri; Salmoniformes; Salmonidae. The record is from RNAcentral.